RNAcentral lists this ribosomal RNA (632 nucleotides) under Tentorium semisuberites. RNAcentral's name for it is "eukaryotic LSU rRNA". It matches the Rfam family "Eukaryotic large subunit ribosomal RNA", at positions 405 to 841 of the family's 3401-position model. The record is from RNAcentral. Lineage: Eukaryota; Metazoa; Porifera; Demospongiae; Polymastiida; Polymastiidae.
CCGUUAGGAGGGAAACGAAUGCGGCUAAAUUAGCUCUGUUUCAGGCUCAGGAGAUGUUGGCGGCUGUGCCGGUGUCGUUGCAGCUUCGGCGCUACGAUUCGGAUAUGUUGCCAUCUCCUCUGCAUUCCUGUGGAGAGCUGGCCAACGACGGUCGCUCCUGGCUCAGAAGGGCAGUUGGGCAGGUGGCUCUUUGCUCGCAGAGAGAACUUACAGCCAGCCGUCUGGCAGUCUGGGAACGACCGAGGAGAGUUGUGAAUCUUCACACGUGCAGUGCAAGCCCUCCGGGGCCGCGUCGCUUCUGUUCGUUUGGGCAUCGGGCUGUGGACUGCUUGCAGUGUUCAGUGACGACUGUCUGCUCGUGCGGGAGAUCGGCGACGUCUUGCGCUGUAGUUGUUGGUGCUCAAAUGGCUGCAUCCGACCCGUCUUGAAACACGGACCAAGGAGUGCAACAUGCGUGCGAGUCUUUGGGUGGCAAACCCGUCGGCGCAAUGAAAGUGAAGGCAAACGUUGGUUUGCUUAGGUGAGAGCCCCUGUUUGGGGGCACAUCAUCGACCGAUCCCAGGCUACGCUGUAGCGGGAUUUGAGUAAGAGCGUGCCUGUUGCGACCCGAAAGAUGGUGAACUAUGCCUGAA